GCCUAAGGUUCUUGCCUAGCCACACCAAAGAAUUGGUGUAGCAGCUGACCAUGGCAAGUGAUAGAGACACGGACUGAGAGAGAGAAAAAGCUGUAGGCUUUAUUGAGCAGAGUGAAAGUACAAAGCUUCCACAGCAUGGAAGGGGUCCCGAAUGGGUAGCCACUGUUGGUUUUGGGUGAUUGCCUUGUCAAUUUUUCAAGGCAGGAGAUACGUGAGGCGGGAAGCUUGUUACAGGAGGGAGAAACAAAGCUUUCUUGGGGAAGAAAACACAUGCACAAAUCCUGGUGUAAGGAAUAUUUUAAGCAUAUAUCUUCAAUAUCAUUCAUCCAGGACCGAGCAAGACCAACACUCUUCCUCCUCCUCUGCCUACUCAAUGUGAAGACAAUGAGGAUGAACACCUUUAUGAUGCUCCACUUCCACUUAUUGAAUAGUGCUACACAUGAAACUUGUAACCAGUUACUACAGGCGAAAGCAAAUCCAUGUCUUCAGGCUGGUGUCAUCAGGGAGAGAAGCUUUGGUUUCCACAUAAGGAUAUAAGAUCAUUGAUGUAAAACAAGUGAGUUUCACUUUAUACCCAGGACAUGUAACCUCUCAAAUUGAGAGAAUGGAUUGGAGAGAUAUUGUUGACCAUGUUUUCCCCUGUAUCUCACCUUCCCCUCUCCAAGACUUCCUUGUCAGUUACCCAUAUUGAUAUCAGUUUAUCCACAUCCAUGCUUUCAAGUUUAAACAAAGAAACUAGGCAAAGGCAGCUAUGUAUUCGCUAGGAUUAGGGAGGAGAAGAUAAUGAACCACUGGAUAGUGAGAAGAAAGAGAGGUGGAGAAAGUGAGAGACCCCAGUAACAGAGGACAGGGACACAUUGCUAAGGAUAGGGACACAUUCACUGUAAUAUAGAAGGCCAUGCUUAUAUGUAAAAUAUGCAGUAAUUGUAUAUAUAUGUACAAAAGUGAUGACACACAUAUGCACAUAAACAAAACACAAUUACUGUCUAUGUUUCUUUAUUUGUGACCUAAUGUUUUAUGUUGUUUGUAACUGAAAAAAAAAUUCCCUUCUGAAUAAAAUGUCAAUUUUGCGAUUGCA
Molecule: long non-coding RNA, 1078 nt
Organism: Homo sapiens (human)
Lineage: Eukaryota; Metazoa; Chordata; Mammalia; Primates; Hominidae
Source: Ensembl